GAAGGGAGGUGAGCCUGUGGCCGGCAGCCGCGCGAGGGAGUCGAGCCCGACCGGGCCAACCAAUGGGGAGGCGCCCGGGCCGUCCAGCCUGCCUCCCUGCGGGCCCAGCGCGGCGGAUUCCUCGGGAGGUGGGAGGCGGCGGCCCUAUGGAUGCUUUCAAAUCAGGAUGUGUGAGGCGCAUUCAGGAGCGGCGGUGGGAGGCGGCUGAGGGCUCUCCAUGAGUGAGCAAAGGCGAGCGAGGUCUGGCUGCUGGGACCGACGCCUGGGACACUCCCUUAACUGCCGUCGCGGGCGCCUGGAAAUGGCUGUGCGGACAACCCCUUCCCAUCCCCUCGCCAAGGUCGCCGGGAUGGCACUGCGGCCCAGGAAGCCUCGUCCCCGGCCUACCUCGCGCAACACCCUUUCGGUGGCACCGCCUGCUCUGGUCUGAAACAGCAGGCCCAGCGUCACCGACCUUCGGGAGGUGGGGGCUGAGCACACCACCCUGAAAAGAGGCAGCUUCCAGGAGGGUCUGGCAGGUCACAUGCCUCCCCUUUGGAGGGAACAGAGGGCACUGCUUGCAGCAGCCCCCACCUGCCCACCCAGAGCCCAGUAGUACCCCGUGGAGGAAAGGAGGCCUGGGGAGACAGGAGAGCUCGGGCCCACCCAGCCAAAGUAAGGAGGACCAGAGCCCCGAUGCCUGCCCCAGGGGCCUCCCGCAGAGCCUGCCCAUGAGUCUCUCCCAAGAUGUCUGGAUCUCCCUAGACAGCCUCCAAGGAGAGCAGUGUUAAUGGUUUGCCAUGUCCAUUGUCCAUGCAGGGAUGGAGAGCAGCAGCACCUGCCUGGUAGAACACACAGUGACACUCAGUCAUUGCUUAGGAGGCCUGCUCGUAAAAACCAAGCCUUGAUCUCACCACGACCAAGGCCAACCCCACUGCCAGCAACCCUGCCAGUGAUGGGGGACAGAGAGACUCCUGACUUCUGCUCCAAGAACCAAUGGAAGGUCAAGCAGCCCGGAGAUGAAGCCAGUAUGUCACAAAGGAAGAACCAAGACCAGUCUCAGAGACAGCAUCCUGGUUAAGUCCUGCCUAAAGCCCACCCUACCUGCAGACCGUUAUUCCAAGAGCUAAUAAACCCCAUUACUAUUUAAAAGAAAAACAAACGAACAAAAA
Molecule: non-coding RNA, 1151 nt
Organism: Macaca mulatta (Rhesus monkey)
Lineage: Eukaryota; Metazoa; Chordata; Mammalia; Primates; Cercopithecidae
Source: RefSeq, a predicted model, not a curated record